AACGAACGCUGGCGGCAUGCCUAACACAUGCAAGUCGAACGAGACCUUCGGGUCUAGUGGCGCACGGGUGCGUAACGCGUGGGAAUCUGCCCUUGGGUUCGGAAUAACAGUGAGAAAUUACUGCUAAUACCGGAUGAUGACGAAAGUCCAAAGAUUUAUCGCCCAAGGAUGAGCCCGCGUAGGAUUAGCUAGUUGGUAAGGUAAAAGCUUACCAAGGCGACGAUCCUUAGCUGGUCUGAGAGGAUGAUCAGCCACACUGGGACUGAGACACGGCCCAGACUCCUACGGGAGGCAGCAGUGGGGAAUAUUGGACAAUGGGCGAAAGCCUGAUCCAGCAAUGCCGCGUGAGUGAUGAAGGCCUUAGGGUUGUAAAGCUCUUUUACCCGGGAUGAUAA
This 395-nucleotide ribosomal RNA is filed under the name uncultured bacterium. RNAcentral's name for it is "bacterial SSU rRNA". It matches the Rfam family "Bacterial small subunit ribosomal RNA", at positions 29 to 451 of the family's 1533-position model. The record is from RNAcentral.